This 406-nucleotide ribosomal RNA is filed under the name uncultured bacterium. Its description in RNAcentral is "partial 16S ribosomal RNA". It matches the Rfam family "Bacterial small subunit ribosomal RNA", at positions 28 to 526 of the family's 1533-position model. The record is from RNAcentral.
GAUGAACGCUAGCUGCAGGCCUAACACAUGCAAGUCGAGGGACGGGCGCAGGGGUGAGAAACACGUAUCCAACCUGGCCUUUACCCGGGGAUUGCCGUUCGAAAGAACGAUUAAUACCUGAUACAAAGGUCCGGGAUGCGUUUCAUUAGUUUGUUGGUGAGGUAACGGCAAACCAAGCCUUCGAUGGAUAGGGGUUCUGAGAGGCAGGUCCCCCACAUUGGAACGGAGACACGGUCCAGACGCCGACGGGAGGCAGCAGUGAGGAAUAUUGGGCAAUGGACGCUAGCCUGAACCAGCCACGUAGCGUGAAGGAUGAAGGGUUAUGGAUCGUAAACUUCUUUUAUAUAAGAAGCUGUACUAUAUGAAUAAGGAUCGGCUAACUCCGUGCCAGCAGCCGCGGUAAUUC